RNAcentral lists this ribosomal RNA (253 nucleotides) under uncultured bacterium. RNAcentral's name for it is "partial 16S ribosomal RNA". It matches the Rfam family "Bacterial small subunit ribosomal RNA", at positions 524 to 776 of the family's 1533-position model. The record is from RNAcentral.
UACGUAGGGGGCAAGCGUUAUCCGGAAUUACUGGGUGUAAAGGGUGAGUAGGCGGCAUGAUAAGUAAGAUGUGAAAGCCCGCGGCUUAACUGCGGGAUUGCAUUUUAAACUAUUGAGCUAGAGUACAGGAGAGGAAAGCGGAAUUCCCAGUGUAGCGGUGAAAUGCGUAGAUAUUGGGAAGAACACCAGUGGCGAAGGCGGCUUUCUGGACUGAAACUGACGCUGAGGCACGAAAGCGUGGGGAGCGAACAGG